GGGCCCUUAGCUUAGUGGUAGAGCGCCUCGUUUGCAACGAGGAGGUCACCGGUUCGAAUCCGGUAGGGUCCACCA
RNAcentral lists this transfer RNA (75 nucleotides) under bacterium. RNAcentral describes it as "tRNA-Ala". It matches the Rfam family "tRNA". From Rfam's summary of the family: Transfer RNA (tRNA) molecules are approximately 80 nucleotides in length. Their secondary structure includes four short double-helical elements and three loops (D, anti-codon, and T loops). The record is from RNAcentral.